GUGUCAGCAGCCGCGGUAAUACGGAGGAUCCAAGCGUUAUCCGGAUUUAUUGGGUUUAAAGGGUGCGUAGGCGGUAAAUUAAGUCAGAGGUGAAAGCCUGCAGCUCAACUGUAGAACUGCCUUUGAUACUGGUUUACUUGAGUACAGAUGAAGUGGGCGGAAUGUGACAAGUAGCGGUGAAAUGCAUAGAUAUGUCACAGAACACCGAUUGCGAAGGCAGCUCACUAAAGUGUAACUGACGCUGAGGCACGAAAGCGUGGGGAUCAAACAGGAUUAGAUACCCCCGUAGUCC
RNAcentral lists this ribosomal RNA (292 nucleotides) under uncultured bacterium. RNAcentral's name for it is "partial 16S ribosomal RNA". It matches the Rfam family "Bacterial small subunit ribosomal RNA", at positions 505 to 796 of the family's 1533-position model. The record is from RNAcentral.